Molecule: ribosomal RNA, 1346 nt
Filed under: Campylobacter jejuni
Lineage: Bacteria; Pseudomonadati; Campylobacterota; Epsilonproteobacteria; Campylobacterales; Campylobacteraceae
Description: partial 23S ribosomal RNA
Rfam family: Bacterial large subunit ribosomal RNA
Source: RNAcentral
ACCCCUGAUGCCGUCGAGCCAAGAAAAGUUUCUAAGUUUAGCUAAUGUUGCCCGUACCGUAAACCGACACAGGUGGGUGGGAUGAGUAUUCUAAGGCGCGUGGAAGAACUCUCUUUAAGGAACUCUGCAAAAUAGCACCGUAUCUUCGGUAUAAGGUGUGGUUAGCUUCGUACUAGGAUUUACUCCGAAAGCGAAGAAACUUACAACAAAGAGUCCCUCCCGACUGUUUACCAAAAACACAGCACUCUGCUAACUCGUAAGAGGAUGUAUAGGGUGUGACGCCUGCCCGGUGCUCGAAGGUUAAUUGAUGGGGUUAGCAUUAGCGAAGCUCUUGAUCGAAGCCCGAGUAAACGGCGGCCGUAACUAUAACGGUCCUAAGGUAGCGAAAUUCCUUGUCGGUUAAAUACCGACCUGCAUGAAUGGCGUAACGAGAUGGGAGCUGUCUCAAAGAGGGAUCCAGUGAAAUUGUAGUGGAGGUGAAAAUUCCUCCUACCCGCGGCAAGACGGAAAGACCCCGUGGACCUUUACUACAGCUUGACACUGCUAUUUGGAUAAGAAUGUGCAGGAUAGGUGGGAGGCUUUGAGUAUAUGACGCCAGUUGUAUAUGAGCCAUUGUUGAGAUACCACUCUUUCUUAUUUGGGUAGCUAACCAGCUUGAGUUAUCCUCAAGUGGGACAAUGUCUGGUGGGUAGUUUGACUGGGGCGGUCGCCUCCCAAAUAAUAACGGAGGCUUACAAAGGUUGGCUCAGAACGGUUGGAAAUCGUUCGUAGAGUAUAAAGGUAUAAGCCAGCUUAACUGCAAGACAUACAAGUCAAGCAGAGACGAAAGUCGGUCUUAGUGAUCCGGUGGUUCUGUGUGGAAGGGCCAUCGCUCAAAGGAUAAAAGGUACCCCGGGGAUAACAGGCUGAUCUCCCCCAAGAGCUCACAUCGACGGGGAGGUUUGGCACCUCGAUGUCGGCUCAUCGCAUCCUGGGGCUGGAGCAGGUCCCAAGGGUAUGGCUGUUCGCCAUUUAAAGCGGUACGCGAGCUGGGUUCAGAACGUCGUGAGACAGUUCGGUCCCUAUCUGCCGUGGGCGUAAGAAGAUUGAAGAGAUUUGACCCUAGUACGAGAGGACCGGGUUGAACAAACCACUGGUGUAGCUGUUGUUCUGCCAAGAGCAUCGCAGCGUAGCUAAGUUUGGAAAGGAUAAACGCUGAAAGCAUCUAAGCGUGAAGCCAACUCUAAGAUGAAUCUUCUCUAAGCUCUCUAGAAGACUACUAGUUUGAUAGGCUGGGUGUGUAAUGGAUGAAAGUCCUUUAGCUGACCAGUACUAAUAGAGCGUUUGGCUUAUCUUUAAUAAAGCAU